UUUACCCAUCUACAGAAGGAACAAUAUUUAUGAUAUGAUAAAUUUCAUAUUUAGAACAUUAUGCAGAACAAUUUAAAAAGGAUGAGUCUGUGUCUGUGUGUUAGUUUGAGAGAGAAUAGACCAACUUAUUCCAAAAUUCGCAAAAGUGCUGAUUUUUAACCAAGAUGUCAAAAGAAUAUGUUUUUGGGGAAUUUGAUAUGCUUAGAAAGGAUGAAAUUAAAGAAAAUUAACCUGCUGAUGAAGUCCUUUCUGUAG
This 255-nucleotide unclassified non-coding RNA is filed under the name Hevea brasiliensis (rubber tree). The record is from RNAcentral. Lineage: Eukaryota; Viridiplantae; Streptophyta; Magnoliopsida; Malpighiales; Euphorbiaceae.